GAUGAACGCUGGCGGCGUGCCUAAUACAUGCCAGUCGAGCGAACAGACGAGGAGCUUGCUCCUCUGACGUUAGCGGCGGACGGGUGAGUAACACGUGGAUAACCUACCUAUAAGACUGGGAUAACUUCGGGAAACCGGAGCUAAUACCGGAUAAUAUAUUGAACCGCAUGGUUCAAUAGUGAAAGACGGUUUUGCUGUCACUUAUAGAUGGAUCCGCGCCGCAUUAGCUAGUUGGUAAGGUAACGGCUUACCAAGGCAACGAUGCGUAGCCGACCUGAGAGGGUGAUCGGCCACACUGGAACUGAGACACGGUCCAGACUCCUACGGGAGGCAGCAGUAGGGAAUCUUCCGCAAUGGGCGAAAGCUUGACGGAGCAACACCGCGUGAGUGAUGAAGGUCUUCGGAUCGUAAAACUCUGUUAUUAGGGAAGAAUAAAUGUGUAAGUAACUAUGCACGUCUUGACGGUACCUAAUCAGAAAGCCACGGCUAACUACGUG
RNAcentral lists this ribosomal RNA (497 nucleotides) under uncultured bacterium. RNAcentral describes it as "partial 16S ribosomal RNA". It matches the Rfam family "Bacterial small subunit ribosomal RNA", at positions 28 to 507 of the family's 1533-position model. The record is from RNAcentral.